Molecule: long non-coding RNA, 884 nt
Organism: Homo sapiens (human)
Lineage: Eukaryota; Metazoa; Chordata; Mammalia; Primates; Hominidae
Gene: MAILR
Product: macrophage interferon regulatory lncRNA
Exons: 4
Source: RefSeq, marked validated
GGAGAAAAGGGAGGGGGACGGAAGAGGAAGGAGGACUGAGCCCGGGAGAGAGAGGGGAGGGGUCGGCGCGCGACCGGGUCAUGCAGGUGCAGACUGGCCGGUCGCUUCCCGCCCUCCAGCCACCCGCAGCUCCCCGGCAGGCGAAGGGCGGCCGCGCGGGUGUGGGCCGAGAGAGGGAGGCGGCUCGGCUGGAGCGCGCCGUCCGCCCGACCCCCGCCGCCUCUCGGGCGCCUGCGCUCACGCUGCGGGGCCCAGCGCAUUGUGAGCCGGGUCGAGCUCCACGCUGGCAGCGUCUGAGAGCUGUCCUGGGCCGGAGGUGGCGCGAACCCUGUGCGGCCUAGAGUGGGCCUGGGGAAGCCAGCUGCCAUGUUCUGAGUACUCUCUGGAAGGGCCUGCAUGGCAAGGAACUGAUGUUUCCAGCCAGCAGCCAGCAAGAACUGCAAGCCUUGUGAAUGAGCUUGGAAGCAGAUCCUCCCCUCACUCAAGCCAUGAUAUGACAACAGCCUGAGACCCAGAGGUGGACGGUGGUGAGCUGUGUUUCCAGGCAAAGGGGAGGACAGGACGCCUUGUGGCAGCCCAAGCUGUGAAAAAUAGAAUCAGAAAUCUGAGCGUAGGAAGAAGUGGGUUAGCCCUGGAGAAAGGAAAAGGAGGAUCAUGGUUCUCUGCAAAGAGCUGGAAGCUAAAAAGCAGGCUGUGUUUACUUACCAACCAGGACUCAGUGGGAUCUUUGCCAGCUUCCAAUAUGGCCUUAAAAGUAUAUGAAAUCCAAGAAAUAUUUCUGCAAAGCAAGAGAUCUUCACUGCUUUAUUUUCCACCACCUGAAUCCUUGCAGUGAGUGUAGUGUGUAUCUAAUCAAUCUAUUAAAAAAUACUUCAAAAGUUCUA